UUGAGUAAUAAAAUUAGAAAAAUCUUAAGAAAUAUUUAAUAACAGAGUAAAAACUCCCUUAUCACCCUCUUUUGCCUUCACAAUCAGCUUCCAAGAGCAACCUCUCCCUCCAAACUCACCCUUCCUCCAACAAUUUGCUGCCAAUCGUUCGACGAUGGGUUUGGAUUGGGAUCCAUGAAGGUCGUCAUAUUCUGCUCCAAUGGAAAACUCUUAUCCGGGGACCAGGAGUCCGUAAAUAAAACACUACGUAGCCUAGCUGUUGUUCCUCGCCUUCAUCGUCGUAGCCGCUCCAUCCUUCACCUCACCCGCGUUGGACCGCUAGACGAUGACUUAAUCUCCGGCGACGACGAAUCCGAUCGAUCUGUCGUCAGCCCCAAUCGAAAGAUCCCUCCCAAUGGGAAAUAGAGGCGGAGCGGUGGUCGUCUGAGUAUAGAGCUCCCCGCGGUUGUCGAGAGCUGAAGAAUCAAGAAGGUGAAUAUGAAGCCGGAUUGGAAGCGGAUGGAGGAGAUGGUGGGCAUCGUGUAGUGCUGCUGCAAA
Molecule: long non-coding RNA, 537 nt
Filed under: Linum usitatissimum (flax)
Lineage: Eukaryota; Viridiplantae; Streptophyta; Magnoliopsida; Malpighiales; Linaceae
Description: long non-coding RNA (LUSI_LNC007405)
Source: RNAcentral